AUGCAAGUCGAGGGGAAACGACAUUGAAGCUUGCUUCGAUGGGCGUCGACCGGCGCACGGGUGAGUAACGCGUAUCCAACCUGCCUCUGACUAAGGGAUAACCCGGCGAAAGUCGGACUAAUACCUUAUGAGGUUUUCUGCAGACAUCUAACGAAAACGAAAGAUUUAUCGGUCAGUGAUGGGGAUGCGUCUGAUUAGCUUGUUGGCGGGGUAACGGCCCACCAAGGCAACGAUCAGUAGGGGUUCUGAGAGGAAGGUCCCCCACAUUGGAACUGAGACACGGUCCAAACUCCUACGGGAGGCAGCAGCGAGGAAUAUUGGUCAAUGGGCGAGAGCCUGAACCAGCCAAGUAGCGUGCAGGAUGACGGCCCUAUGGGUUGUAAACUGCUUUUAUGUGGGGAUAAAGUGAGCUACGUGUAGUUUAUUGCAGGUACCACAUGAAUAAGGACCGGCUAAUUCCGUGCCAGCAGCCGCGGUAAUACGGAAGGUCCAGGCGUUAUCCGGAUUUAUUGGGUUUAAAGGGAGCGUAGGCCGUGGAUUAAGCGUGUUGUGAAAUGUAGACGCUCAACGUCUGAAUUGCAGCGCGAACUGGUUCACUUGAGUAUGCACAACGUAGGCGGAAUUCGUCGUGUAGCGGUGAAAUGCUUAGAUAUGACGAAGAACUCCGAUUGCGAAGGCAGCUUACGGGAGCACAACUGACGCUGAAGCUCGAAGGUGCGGGUAUCAAACAGGAUUAGAUACCCUGGUAGUCCGCACAGUAAACGAUGGAUGCCCGUUGUUAGUUCACUUAUGAAUUAGCGACCAAGCGAAAGCAUUAAGCAUCCC
Molecule: ribosomal RNA, 825 nt
Filed under: uncultured Bacteroidota bacterium
Lineage: Bacteria; Pseudomonadati; Bacteroidota
Description: bacterial SSU rRNA
Rfam family: Bacterial small subunit ribosomal RNA
Source: RNAcentral